CUGGAGGUCGUCGCUGAUCUGACAGGCUGCUCUCCCCGACACCGUGUCCCUUCUUGCACUACAACUCCAAGUUUAAAAUAUGUUUCGCACUGCAGCCAGCACCUGCAAUAACGGAGAAAACACUCGCUGGGGAUCCUCCAACAUACCUUUCACCCGCUGGCUCCCUGCUGAGUAUGAGGAUGGCAUCUCUCUGCCUAAAGGCUGGAACCCUAAACUGAGAGUCAACAAACAUUUUCUUCCAUUGGUAAGGGAAGUGUCCAACCAAAUUCUGCGCACAGCUAACUCUGAUGUGGAGAGCGACCCUCUCUACACUCACCUGUGACA
Molecule: long non-coding RNA, 324 nt
Organism: Seriola dumerili (greater amberjack)
Lineage: Eukaryota; Metazoa; Chordata; Actinopteri; Carangiformes; Carangidae
Exons: 3
Source: RefSeq, a predicted model, not a curated record